GUACACUAAGCUCUAAGAUACAAUUUAGAUGCUUAGAUGUAUCAGGGAACUAAAGCUUAGAAUAAUAAAAGAAAUUGAGAGUAAAAAAAAAAUUGACGGUUUAUAAAAGAUGUAGGGAUUCGAUAUUAUCCCAAGGAGAAAUUUGAAAGAUAUUCAUGUCAAUCUAUUUCCGAUGUACGUUAUGUUCUAUAUAAAAAAAAAUGUAGCCUUUAAUGAACUAUGUAAGUGUGAAUGCACGUGGUUGUAAAAAAAAUGUAAAAUAAAAGGGGCUUUUGCUUUAUGUAAAGGUGAUUCUUGCACCGUUUCAAAAAAAGGAUGGUUGAGUACCAAAAAAGUAAAUACUUUUCCAAUGGGAUUUAU
RNAcentral lists this long non-coding RNA (360 nucleotides) under Carica papaya (papaya). RNAcentral's name for it is "long non-coding RNA (CPAP_LNC006010)". The record is from RNAcentral. Lineage: Eukaryota; Viridiplantae; Streptophyta; Magnoliopsida; Brassicales; Caricaceae.